UCAAAACAUCUCUAAGAUGAUCUAAGUUCUCUCUAGAGCAAACCUCUCUAAGAGCAACUCCUUUCCUUCUCUUUCUCUUAUCGGUGAUCACACUCCUAGUCCUAGUCUUCUCGGAAGCCGACUUUCAGUGCCACCAAACCCUCUGUCAACGUACUUCGGUCCUAGUCUCCUCGGGAGCCGACGGUAGUGCCGCGACCACAACGGUUACAGAACCUGCCAAGCAAGGGUAACGCCCUAGCAACCCAGCCAAGCUAAAGUCACGCUUUAGCAAGUUCUCAAUACUUCCCGGUGAUGUCGCUCUGCUCAAUCUACAAUAUUGAGUAUCGAUUGUGUUAACAAGAAGAAACUUCAGCAAAGUCCUCACCACGAGGCAUAAAGAAUCCCACGACGAGGUUGGUGCUCUCCUCGUCUACAAUCGCUUGAUAGAAGUCAGGUCAAGGGACACCCCCGACGACCGCACCCGAACGGUACUGGCACGCCCGCGCAGAAAAUAGACUGUUGACCAGCUGCAACAAAAUUGGAGCCAAACAGAUAGUAUUUUUGAAAUACAAUCUCUUUUGAUUUUAUCUCAUUUUCUCCACUUCCUAUGUUGGUGUGCAAGACUUUUCUGUAGCAGACCACACAGAGUCUACUACUCGUGCAAAACCCUGCAUGUGUUGCAUGGUUUCGUGAACUCGACUUCUCUGGCCUAGAAGUCACUGGUAACAUCUCAAACAUUUUCUUCAAUUUGGUCAUCAUCGUUGAAUGAUAAACUUAACUAAGGACGUACCUUAGGGAAGGGAAAACAAAAUAGUACACUACUAGGAAAAAAAUCGGUAAAUUCAGCUAUGUACUUCUAUUAUUUGCUCAAAUGUACAAAUCAUCCUGGCACUAAUAUACUCCAUUUCGUAUGAACAA
Molecule: long non-coding RNA, 897 nt
Organism: Rosa rugosa (rugosa rose)
Lineage: Eukaryota; Viridiplantae; Streptophyta; Magnoliopsida; Rosales; Rosaceae
Exons: 2
Source: RefSeq, a predicted model, not a curated record